Molecule: ribosomal RNA, 253 nt
Filed under: uncultured Lachnospiraceae bacterium
Lineage: Bacteria; Bacillati; Bacillota; Clostridia; Lachnospirales; Lachnospiraceae
Description: partial 16S ribosomal RNA
Rfam family: Bacterial small subunit ribosomal RNA
Source: RNAcentral
UACGUAGGGGGCAAGCGUUAUCCGGAUUUACUGGGUGUAAAGGGAGCGUAGACGGCCAGACAAGUCAGAAGUGAAAGACCGGGGCUUAACCCCGGGACUGCUUUGGAAACUGUUAAGCUAGAGUGCUGGAGAGGUAAGUGGAAUUCCUAGUGUAGCGGUGAAAUGCGUAGAUAUUAGGAGGAACACCAGUGGCGAAGGCGGCUUACUGGACUGUAAAUGACGCUGAGGCUCGAAAGCGUGGGGAGCAAACAGG